GUGUGAACUUCGCUUCGAUUGAGUGCUUGUGUCACCGGAUUCCUGUCCAUCAGUUUCCUGGUUGGUGAUACUUUAUGGGUGUGCAAGCCAUCGGAAUCUUGUCCAUCGGAUUCCUGCUGCUGGUGGCUGUGCAAUCGAGAUUGGAGUGCUGAUCUGUUUCUCCUGUUCCCUUUGAGCCGUGAUCAUUGAGCUGCCGGAAGAAGCCGUUGCCUACUGUGGGAAAAAUCUGAGCCAAUGUGUCCCGAGGACACAUUUUUCCCACAUCGACUUUCCUUGUUUUUCUUUCUUCUGACUUUCCCUUGUUU
Molecule: long non-coding RNA, 305 nt
Filed under: Salvia miltiorrhiza (redroot sage)
Lineage: Eukaryota; Viridiplantae; Streptophyta; Magnoliopsida; Lamiales; Lamiaceae
Description: long non-coding RNA (SMIL_LNC013330)
Source: RNAcentral